RNAcentral lists this ribosomal RNA (337 nucleotides) under Rhizophagus irregularis. Its description in RNAcentral is "partial large subunit ribosomal RNA". The record is from RNAcentral. Lineage: Eukaryota; Fungi; Glomeromycota; Glomeromycetes; Glomerales; Glomeraceae.
CAGUCGCGUUCUCUGGGAUUCAGCCUUGCUUCUGCUUGGUGCAUUUCUGUGGAGUGUGAUGAGCUUAACACCUUCAUGCUUUGCAUAUUUGUGCUCUUGGGUGUACUUGCCCGUGUGGUUGGUUAACAUCAAUUUUGGUUAUCAUAAAAUGAUUGGAGGAAUGUAGCUUCGAUCUCGUAUUGAAGUGUUAUAGCCUUCGGUAGAUGUGAUGAACGAGAUUGAGGAUUGCAACGGAUACCCUUCGGGGCUACCUGUCUGGUCUCUGAUCGUUGCUCUGGUGCCGAAAGCUUGCUUACGGUCAUCAAAGUCGAUGGUCAAUAGGUUAGAACGGGAUAAA